GAUGAACGCUGGCGGCGUGCCUAAUACAUGCAAGUCGAGCGAACAGACGAGGAGCUUGCUCCUCUGACGUUAGCGGCGGACGGGUGAGUAACACGUGGAUAACCUACCUAUAAGACUGGGAUAACUUCGGGAAACCGGAGCUAAUACCGGAUAAUAUAUUGAACCGCAUGGUUCAAUAGUGAAAGACGGUUUUGCUGUCACUUAUAGAUGGAUCCGCGCCGCAUUAGCUAGUUGGUAAGGUAACGGCUUACCAAGGCAACGAUGCGUAGCCGACCUGAGAGGGGGAUCGGCCACCCUGGAACUGAGACACGGUCCAGACUCCUACGGGAGGCAGCGGUAGGGAAUCUUGCGCAAUGGGCGAAAGCCUGACGGAGCAACGCCGCGUGAGUGAUGAAGGGCUUCGGAUCGUAAAACUCUGUUAUUAGGGAAGAACAAAUGUGUAAGUAACUAUGCACGUCUUGACGGUACCUAAUCAGAAAGCCACGGCUAACUACGU
This 496-nucleotide ribosomal RNA is filed under the name uncultured bacterium. RNAcentral describes it as "partial 16S ribosomal RNA". It matches the Rfam family "Bacterial small subunit ribosomal RNA", at positions 28 to 506 of the family's 1533-position model. The record is from RNAcentral.